UACAGAGGGUGCGAGCGUUGUUCGGAAUUAUUGGGCGUAAAGGGCGCGUAGGCGGUGCGGUAAGUCACCUGUGAAAUCUCCUGGACUCAACUGGGAGCUUGCAGGCGAAACUGCCGUGCUGGAGUGUGGGAGAGGUGCGUGGAAGUUCCCGGUGUAGCGGUGAAAUGCGUAGAUAUCGGGAGGAACACCUGUGGCGAAAGCGGCUCACUGGACCACAACUGACGCUGAGGCGCGAAAGCUAGGGGAGCAAACAGGGAUUAAGAAACCCUUGGUAAGUCCAGAA
This 283-nucleotide ribosomal RNA is filed under the name uncultured bacterium. Its description in RNAcentral is "partial 16S ribosomal RNA". It matches the Rfam family "Bacterial small subunit ribosomal RNA", at positions 524 to 801 of the family's 1533-position model. The record is from RNAcentral.